AUUGAACGCUAGCGGGAUGCUUUACACAUGCAAGUCGAACGGCAGCGCGGACUUCGGUCUGGCGGCGAGUGGCGAACGGGCGAGUAAUUUAUCGGAACGUGCCCAGUCGCGGGGAUAACUACGCGAAAGCGUAGCUAAUACCGCAAACGCCCAACGGGGGAAAGCACAUGAUCGUAAGACCUUACACUAUUUUAGCUGCCGAUAUCGGAUUAGCUAGUUGGUUAGGUAACGGCUCACAAAGGCGACGAUCCGAAGCAGGUUUGAGUGGACGACCAGCCACACUGGGACUGAGACACGGCCCAGACUCCUACGGGAGGCAGAAGUGGGGAAUUUUGGACAAUGGGGGCAACCCUGCUCCAGCAAUCCCGGUUGUGCGAUGAAGGCCUUCGGGUUUUAAAGCACUUUUGGCAGGAAAGAAACGUCGCGGGCUAAUACCCCGUGGAACUGACGGUACCUUAAGAAUAAGCACCGGCUAACUACGUG
Molecule: ribosomal RNA, 483 nt
Filed under: uncultured bacterium
Lineage: Bacteria
Description: partial 16S ribosomal RNA
Rfam family: Bacterial small subunit ribosomal RNA
Source: RNAcentral